This 466-nucleotide ribosomal RNA is filed under the name uncultured bacterium. RNAcentral describes it as "partial 16S ribosomal RNA". It matches the Rfam family "Bacterial small subunit ribosomal RNA", at positions 28 to 505 of the family's 1533-position model. The record is from RNAcentral.
GACGAACGCUGGCGGCGUGCUUAACACAUGCAAGUCGAACGGAAAGGCCCUGCUUUUGUGGGGUGCUCGAGUGGCGAACGGGUGAGUAACACGUGAGUAACCUGCCCUUGACUUUGGGAUAACUUCAGGAAACUGGGGCUAAUACCGGAUAGGAGCUCCUGCUGCAUGGUGGGGGUUGGAAAGUUUCGGCGGUUGGGGAUGGACUCGCGGCUUAUCAGCUUGUUGGUGGGGUAGUGGCUUACCAAGGCUUUGACGGGUAGCCGGCCUGAGAGGGUGACCGGCCACAUUGGGACUGAGAUACGGCCCAGACUCCUACGGGAGGCAGCAGUGGGGAAUAGUGCACAAUGGGCGGAAGCCUGAUGCAGCAACGCCGCGUGCGGGAUGACGGCCUUCGGGUUGUAAACCGCUUUCGCCUGUGACGAAGCGUGAGGGACGGUAAUGGGUAAAGAAGCACCGGCUAACUACG